CAAUGAAGCGACGAUGCUGUUUAUAGCAAUCGUUGACAGAAUCCUGUCUCCUCAUCAACUUAGGCCCAGAUGACAGGCACUCUCGGACAGCUGAGCCCACCAGCAUGAAGCCGGGAUCGCAGUCAAACCUUGUGAAGGAUACAUCAAAGUCCAACUCUAUGGGCAGCAACCCAAAAGUUACUGGAGCAGCUUCAGAUGUGUUCUUCGUGGGCCAAAAACAGGGAAAAUGUGCCAGUGAGGUUUUGUACAGUUUUGUAAAGUGAAUUAAAA
Long non-coding RNA from Oryzias melastigma (Indian medaka), 270 nucleotides. RefSeq lists it as uncharacterized. Lineage: Eukaryota; Metazoa; Chordata; Actinopteri; Beloniformes; Adrianichthyidae. The record is from RefSeq and is a predicted model, not a curated record. The transcript is spliced from 4 exons.